AUGAAGAUUGUCCCCGAGGACAUCGCGUCCCUCCACCGAUCAAGCAUCGGGCUGCUGCUGCGUUGCCUCAUCGUGCCGCUGCGUCGCCACCCUGUUGUUCUCCCCACCGCUGCAUCGACCCGUGUGCUGCCGCUACAUCACCCAUUCAGGACGUAUAGUCAAGGCCCGCGGUCUACUGCCGCCCUGAGGCCGUCCUAUCUAGGUAGUCCCCGUGGCUGCACCGACCCUCGUGCUGCCUCUGUGUUGCCCCAUCUGGCCAUAGCGAGCGUGGCACGCGGUCUUAGCCAUUGCCCGAGGCCGUUGAGCGAUUCCUGGAUUAUGGGGUCCUCGGGUGUCCGAGUUAUGUAA
Molecule: ribosomal RNA, 348 nt
Filed under: Triticum aestivum (bread wheat)
Lineage: Eukaryota; Viridiplantae; Streptophyta; Magnoliopsida; Poales; Poaceae
Description: partial small subunit ribosomal RNA
Source: RNAcentral